RNAcentral lists this ribosomal RNA (1175 nucleotides) under uncultured Francisella sp. RNAcentral's name for it is "bacterial SSU rRNA". It matches the Rfam family "Bacterial small subunit ribosomal RNA", at positions 125 to 1299 of the family's 1533-position model. The record is from RNAcentral. Lineage: Bacteria; Pseudomonadati; Pseudomonadota; Gammaproteobacteria; Thiotrichales; Francisellaceae.
CUUGCCCAUUUGAGGGGGAUACCAGUUGGAAACGACUGUUAAUACCGCAUAAUAUCUGUGGAUUAAAGGUGGCUUUCGGGCUGUCGCAGAUGGAUGAGCCUGCGUUGGAUUAGCUAGUUGGUGGGGUAAGGGCCCACCAAGGCUACGAUCCAUAGCUGAUUUGAGAGGAUGAUCAGCCACAUUGGGACUGAGACACGGCCCAAACUCCUACGGGAGGCAGCAGUGGGGAAUAUUGGACAAUGGGGGCAACCCUGAUCCAGCAAUGCCAUGUGUGUGAAGAAGGCCCUAGGGUUGUAAAGCACUUUAGUUGGGGAGGAAAGCCUCAAGGUUAAUAGCCUUGGGGAGGACGUUACCCAAAGAAUAAGCACCGGCUAACUCCGUGCCAGCAGCCGCGGUAAUACGGGGGGUGCAAGCGUUAAUCGGAAUUACUGGGCGUAAAGGGUCUGUAGGUGGUUUGUUAAGUCAGAUGUGAAAGCCCAGGGCUCAACCUUGGAACUGCAUUUGAUACUGGCAAACUAGAGUACGGUAGAGGAAUGGGGAAUUUCUGGUGUAGCGGUGAAAUGCGUAGAGAUCAGAAGGAACACCAAUGGCGAAGGCAACAUUCUGGACCGAUACUGACACUGAGGGACGAAAGCGUGGGGAUCAAACAGGAUUAGAUACCCUGGUAGUCCACGCUAUAAACGAUGAGUACUAGCUGUUGGAGUCGGUGUAAAGGCUCUAGUGGCGCAGCUAACGCGAUAAGUACUCCGCCUGGGGACUACGGCCGCAAGGCUAAAACUCAAAGGAAUUGACGGGGACCCGCACAAGCGGUGGAGCAUGUGGUUUAAUUCGAUGCAACGCGAAGAACCUUACCUGGUCUUGACAUCCUGCGAACUUUCUAGAGAUAGAUUGGUGCCUUCGGGAACGCAGUGACAGGUGCUGCACGGCUGUCGUCAGCUCGUGUUGUGAAAUGUUGGGUUAAGUCCCGCAACGAGCGCAACCCCUAUUGAUAGUUACCAUCAUUAAGUUGGGUACUCUAUUGAGACUGCCGCUGACAAGGCGGAGGAAGGUGGGGACGACGUCAAGUCAUCAUGGCCCUUACGACCAGGGCUACACACGUGCUACAAUGGGUAUUACAGAGGGCUGCGAAGGUGCGAGCUGGAGCGAAACUCAAAAAGGUACUCUUAGUCCAAGGG